Molecule: long non-coding RNA, 499 nt
Organism: Ochotona curzoniae (black-lipped pika)
Lineage: Eukaryota; Metazoa; Chordata; Mammalia; Lagomorpha; Ochotonidae
Exons: 3
Source: RefSeq, a predicted model, not a curated record
GCCUUUUUUUUUUUUUUUUUUUUUUUUGAGUCUUGAUUGUGUGGACAUCAUUGGGAAUGGAGGAAACCAAGUGACUGGAUGGCUGGUGCUUGUUGAAGUGUCCAAGGGACAUGGCAAUUAUAGGGUGUCACGGCUGAUGCGUGUCUGCGGAUCUUCACAGCACGGUUCCUGGGAAGGCGGAGCUGCCAGCUUCUCCCUGAAUAACUGGGAGAUGAAACAGGAAGCCCUAUGACACACUUGAUCGAAAAUGACAGACACAGGAGAAUCAGGACUCGGCCCCCUCCAGCACCUCCACCUGCUGCCUACCGAGGGACAGCCAGAGUGUAUACAGAUCGAAGGCCGACAGAGUGUCCUGGUGUGCAAGAACUGUCCACCCAGCCCAUUGUCCAAGAUUAUCUGGUGAUGACAUAGAACAACACUCCGCAGCAGGACAGGGAAGUCCAGGCUUCCAUUCCUGCCCUAUGGCUCACUAAAGGUGGGACUGAGUGGCUUCCAGACC